RNAcentral lists this ribosomal RNA (464 nucleotides) under uncultured bacterium. Its description in RNAcentral is "partial 16S ribosomal RNA". It matches the Rfam family "Bacterial small subunit ribosomal RNA", at positions 29 to 507 of the family's 1533-position model. The record is from RNAcentral.
ACGAACGCUGGCGGCGUGCUUAACGCAUGCAAGUCGAACGGUAAGGCCCCUUCGGGGGUACACGAGUGGCGAACGGGUGAGUAACACGUGAGCAACCUGCCCUUGACUCUGGAAUAACAGUUGGAAACAGCUGCUAAUACUGGAUAUUCAUCGUCUCCUUCCUGGGGGGUGGUGGAAAGCUCCGGCGGUCAGGGAUGGGCUCGCGGCCUAUCAGCUUGUUGGUGAGGUAAUGGCUCACCAAGGCUUCGACGGGUAGCCGGCCUGAGAGGGCGACCGGCCACACUGGGACUGAGAUACGGCCCAGACUCCUACGGGAGGCAGCAGUGGGGAAUAUUGCACAAUGGGCGCAAGCCUGAUGCAGCAACGCCGCGUGCGGGAUGACGGCCUUCGGGUUGUAAACCGCUUUCAGUAGGGACGAAGGGUGACUGACGGUACCUACAGAAGAAGGACCGGCUAACUACGUG